Magnolia sinica is the source of this 1390-nucleotide RNA transcript. RefSeq lists it as uncharacterized. The transcript has 6 exons. NCBI's taxonomy places the organism in Eukaryota, Viridiplantae, Streptophyta, Magnoliopsida, Magnoliales, Magnoliaceae. The record is from RefSeq and is a predicted model, not a curated record.
CUAGUAAUAUCCACAAAUAUAUUGCUGGAAAUUCUGGACUUACUAUUUCAACUGAUUCUCUUAAAUUCUAAGAAAUCUUCAUCUGUUGUUGGGUUCCCUUCUCUACAAUUCAAAUCCUUGAAAUCUUCCACUAGCAAUGAUUUCCAUGGCAAGAAAAUGGCUUUUCUGCCGAAUCAAAUAAAAUCCAAGAGAGAAAAUCUCCAAGCUUUUCGUGUAUAGAUGAGCUUUGGUAUUGCCAAAGUUAUGAAAUGGUGGGAAAAGGGGCUUCAACCCAAUAUGAAAGAGAUCGAAUCUACGCAAGCUCUCGUCGAUUCCUUGUUAAAUGCAGGAUACAAACUUGUUGUUAUAGAUUUCUUCUCUCCAGACUGAUGAAGAGAUCCAAUGCUGAGAAGUUUACAGCUAGGGAAGAUGAUGGAAUUGAAAGGUUUGUUGAGUUGAAUGAUGAUGCAGAUUUCGGAUCGAGGAAAAGCCCUUCUUCCUUUGUGCUUGACAAACAUGGAGUGACUCUUUCAUGCAAAUGUUCUGCAACAGAAGAUGGUGGAAAACUGAGUACAUGACUAAGAAAAGGCAGAGGAUCAUAUCAUGAGCCAAGCCCCAGUUGAUUGGUCAGCUGAAUCAAAGUACCUGUUAGAAGAGGUGUUUAAGAUGUACAUCGAUCUGAUGGGCCACAAUGUUAGAAAUGAUAGUGUAUAAAUGCUUCAUUUAUCUUAUGGGCCACAAUGUUAGAAAUGAAUGAUAGCCCAAAAACUUACCCAUUAGAUGAGUUCUCUAGCAUGGUAUGUGCACCAUGGAACCUUCAGAUGGACAUUUGUGUAAUAUAUCUUCUUCAAAUGACCAAAUGCAUGCAGUCUUCUGUUCUUCUUACCUUUGUGAUUAAAAACUAUAUUUUUGUGAUUUUGGUGUAGUGUGAUUGAAGUUAUUCCUUCACCAGCUAUUAGGUUUAUCCUUGUUAUACACUUGUGUGCUUGUCUGCUCCUUUUGUUUAUCUUAUGUUGUUGUGUGGUUUUUGGAGUGGUCAUGCAGGCAAGCAAACAUGAAAUGCUUGGUUUUCAUGCUUCUUGGUGGAAUUUUUUUUAUUAAAUUUCUAGUCAGUUUGAUUUGUCUAUGAAUCCAAAUACCAGGUUUGCCUUUUUGGGUUGAAGCUUUCCAAUCCAUUGUUGACAUUACCUUCAUUAAUCACUUUGUACUAUGCAAAUUAACCAGAUCCAACAGGAAAAUGAAAAGAAGGAAUCAAAUCUUAGGGUGCACCACAGUGAAGACCAUCUUUCUUGCUUGGAGGCCCUGAUAAUGUUGCAGAAAUGACAAGCAGGCGGGGUAUGCUAGUUAGGGCUACUAGUGGAAAAGGUGAUGUUUAUGGAUGGUAAGAAACUAGUUGUUAUAAUUUCUGAAG